Molecule: ribosomal RNA, 252 nt
Filed under: uncultured bacterium
Lineage: Bacteria
Description: partial 16S ribosomal RNA
Rfam family: Bacterial small subunit ribosomal RNA
Source: RNAcentral
ACGGAGGGGGUUAGCGUUGUUCGGAAUUACUGGGCGUAAAGCGUGCGUAGGCUGAUUAGUCAGUCAGAGGUGAAAUCCCAGGGCUUAACCCUGGAACUGCCUUUGAUACUGCUAGUCUAGAGUAUGAGAGAGGUGAGUGGAAUUCCAAGUGUAGAGGUGAAAUUCGUAGAUAUUUGGAGGAACACCAGCGGCGAAGGCGGCUCACUGGCUCAUUACUGACGCUGAGGUACGAAAGUGUGGGUAGCAAACAGG